GUAAGGAAUAUUGCACAAUGGGCGCAAGCCUGAUGCAGCAACGCCGCGUGCCGGAUGAAGGUCUUCGGAUCGUAAACGGCUUUUCUCAGGGACGAGCAAGGACGGUACCUGAGGAAUAAGUCUCGGCUAACUACGUGCCAGCAGCCGCGGUAACACGUAGGAGACGAGCGUUAUCCGGAUUUACUGGGCGUAAAGCGCGGGUCGGUGGGGUCUUAAGUCAUGCGUGAAAGCUCUCGGCUUAACCGGGAGAGGUCGUGUGAAACUGGGAUUCUCAGAGGUAGGUAGAGGCAGAUGGAAUUCCGGGUGGAGUGGUGAAAUGCGUAGAGAUCCGGAGGAACACCAGUGGCGAAGGCGAUCUGCUAGGCCUGACCUGACACUCAGCCGCGACAGCAUGGGGAGCGAACGGGAUUAGAUACCCUAGUAGUCC
This 427-nucleotide ribosomal RNA is filed under the name uncultured bacterium. RNAcentral describes it as "bacterial SSU rRNA". It matches the Rfam family "Bacterial small subunit ribosomal RNA", at positions 354 to 796 of the family's 1533-position model. The record is from RNAcentral.